Molecule: long non-coding RNA, 1890 nt
Organism: Lycium barbarum (goji berry)
Lineage: Eukaryota; Viridiplantae; Streptophyta; Magnoliopsida; Solanales; Solanaceae
Exons: 3
Source: RefSeq, a predicted model, not a curated record
UCUUCUUGCCUGUUUCGGUACUCUUUAAUUUCUCACAAUAAUGAAAAAGGUAGGGUACAGUUGUAUGACUUUAAAUAGGAAGAUGAUAAGAAGUUUUCCUUAAAGACUAGGAAUAGUGAAAAAGGUGAAGUCUUGCUCUUUAUUAAGGACCAGAGCCGCCCAAUUAUUUGAGUUAUCUAACCAUAUAUCCAAAGCUGUGAAUUUGCCUGUUAGUCUUUAGCAAUAUUCUUCAAAAUGUCUAACCUUCAUCUUCCAAAAUUUGCAAGUAUGAUGUCUUUUUGUGUUUUAGAGGUGAAGAUACACGUAAAACUUUUGUAAGUCAUCUAAGACGAUGAGUGGUUGGAAACGGGAAAAUCAAUUUUUGAGGAACUCUUGCAAACUAUAGAAGAGUCUAGAUUUGCUGUUGUGAUAAUUUUAAAAAGCUAUGCAUCCUCAAUAUGGUGCUUUGAGGAGCUUGCACACAUCAUAAAGUGCAAAAAUGAAUUGGAGCAGAUUGUGAUUCCGGUCUUGUAUGAUGUGAGUCCAUCAGUUGUGCGCCAUCAAUAUCCCCCUUUCGCUGAGUCAUUUUCCCUACAUGAGGAAAAUUGCAAAGAUGAUUUGGAGAAGGUUCAAAGAUGGAGGGAUGCAUUUGCGGAGGCAGGGAAAAUAUCAGGGUAUCAUUUACAAAAUUUCAAGUUGAUGAUUCUGCUUGCUAGGACAUCUCGCACCAGCUAUUGGUGAGCCCCAGUCUUCCGGGGCAUUAUCCCUCUUUUCAGUCUUUAUAGUAUUUCAGUUAAUAAGGUUGUUGCAGCUUGACUAUCACAAUUGAUGGUGACAGGUUCAAUAACAUUGUUAUACACACCCAAGUGGACCAGAAAAUGUUUAAGCCAAAUAGCUUCUUGCAUAGCUGCUGAAAGUGCUACAAGUUCAACUUCCAUUGUCGAUUAUCCAUGAUUGCUUCUUGCUACUCCAUGAUAUGGCGCCAUUGUUAAGUAAGAAUACAUAUCAAGAGGUGAAUUUUCUUUCAUCCAAAUCUCCUCCAUAAUCAGCAUCAGUGUAUCCUUUGAGCUGUAGAUCAUUUCCUUGGUAACACAAAGAAUAGUCGACUGUGCCUCUAAGAUACCGUAAUAUCCUUUUAACUACUUUCCAAUGUUCUUGUCCUAGAUUAGAUUGAAAUCUGCUAGUCAACUCUGCGGCAUAACAUAUAUUAUGUCUAGUACAUAUUAUAGCAUACAUUAGACAACCGAUGGCAUUGGCAUAAGGAACCUUUCUCAUUCGUUCCUUCUCUUGUAGAGUUUGAGGACACAUCGUCCGGCCUAAAGCUUCACUUUUAGAAACAUGAGUGUUUAUAGGUUUCCAGUCUUGCAUAUUAAAUCGUUCAAGAACUUUCUUUAUAUAAGACUAUUGUGAAAGAGACAUUUAUCUCUUUGAACAAUUUCUUGAAAUCUUAACUCCAAGAAUAUGUGACGCUUCACCCAUAUCUUUCAUCUCAAAUGUUAAUGAUAGCCACCCAUUUAUUUCUUUAACAUACUCGAUGUCACUCGAUAAGAUCACAAACUUAUUUUUAGAUAUUUUGAUGUACACACAAUGGUUUUCAUGAAUCAUAGUGAAACCAUAUGAUAUGAUCUCCUUAUGAAAACGUAAAUACCAUUGUCUAGAAGACUGCUUAAGGCCAUAAAUUGACCUACGAAGUCGGCAAACUUUAUGCUCUUGACGUUUUUUCACAAAACCUACAUAUUGAUCCAUAUAGAUUUCCUCUUCUAGUUCUCCUUGGAGAAAUGUGAUUUUUACAUCCAUUUGAUGCAUUUCAAGAUCUAAAUUAGCUACCAUUGACAAAAUUAGCCUUAUCGAGGUAAACCCCAUAACAGGUGAAAAAGUUUUCUCAUAAUCGAUUCCUUCAAGUUGUGUAUA